UGCUUCCCUCAGUCUCCUAAAGGUUUGACUGCUGCUCUGAAGGCAGCAUUAAAGAUCAGUUCAAUUUGCUGCAGCCAUAAAUAUUGUCUCCUAGCCACUGUUUUAAAUCUAUCUUCUGACAGAAUUGUAUUGCACUUGAUCCAUCUCCCCAGGUUUUGUGCCCUUUGCUAUUCCUUUAAGCUGCUUCAUACAAAAAUCUUAAAGCUUCAGAAUGUCCUUAAUCAUCUUGAAUAGGUAUUGCAACAGGGAUUUUGAUGAUGAGAAAAUCCUUAUACAGCAUCAAAAAGCAAAGCACUUUAAAUGCCAUAUAUGUCAUAAGAAACUGUAUACAGGACCCGGUUUAGCUAUACAUUGUAUGCAGGUGCAUAAAGAAACAAUAGAUGCAGUUCCAAAUGCUAUUCCUGGAAGAACAGAUAUUGAACUGGAAAUCUAUGGUAUGGAGGGCAUUCCAGAAAAAGACAUGGAUGAAAGGAGAAGAUUACUUGAACAAAAAACUCAGGCAGAGAGCCAGAAGAAGAAACAACAAGAUGAUUCUGAUGAGUAUGAUGAUGAUGAAUCUACAGCUUCAACCUCAUUUCAGCCACAACCAGUACAACCACAACAGGGAUACAUGCCCCCAAUGGCACAACCAGGAUUGCCUCCUGUGCCAGGUGCACCAGGAAUACCCCCAGGUAUACCACCCUUGAUGGCAGGUGUUCCACCAAUGAUGCCAGGAAUGCCUCCAGUUAUGCCAGGAAUGCCACCUGGAUUACAUCAACAGAGAAAGUACAUGCAGUCAUUUUGCGGUGAAAACAUGAUGAUGCCAAUGGGUGGGAUGAUGCCUCCUGGGCCAGGAAUACCACCUCUUAUGCCUGGUAUGCCACCAGGUAGGUCAGUGAUGUCGAACUCAUACUGUGGUAUGCCACCACCUGUUGGUCCUCGCCCUGGUAUGCCUCCCAUGACACAAGCACAGCCUGUGACAGCACCAGGCAUUCUUAAUAGACCUCCAGCUCCUGCUGUAGCAGCACCCUCCCCACAGCCUCCAGUUACGAAACCACUUUUCCCCAGUGCAGGACAGAUGGGGACACCUGUCACAAGUUCAAGUACAGCUUCAUCCAAUUCAGAAAAUCUGUCAGCAUCUUCUAAAGCUCUGUUUCCUAGCACAGCACAAGCUCAGGCAGCUGUUCCAGGACCAGUGGGUACUGAUUUCAAACCUUUGAAUAAUACACCUGCAACAACCACAGAGCCCCCCAAACCUACAUUCCCUGCUUAUACACAGUCUACAGCUUCAACCACUAGCACAACAAACAGUACUGCAGCUAAACCAGCUACGUCUAUAACAAGUAAGCCUGCUACCCUUACAACAACCAGUGCAACCAGUAAGUUGAUCCAUCCAGAUGAGGAUAUAUCACUGGAAGAGAGAAGGGCACAGUUGCCCAAAUAUCAACGUAAUCUCCCUCGACAAGGACAGGUAUCAAUGGGCAAUCCAUCAGUUGGAUCACUUGGAGGUAUGAUGCCACCACAACCUGGAAUUCCUCCUCAGCAGCAGGGAAUGAGACCUCCUAUGCCUCCUCAUGGUCAGUAUGGUGCUCAUCACCAAGGCAUGCCAGGAUACCUUCCUGGAGGGAUGCCUCCAUAUGGUCAGGGACCUCCAAUGGUACCCCCUUACCAAGGUGGACCUCCUCGACCUCCAAUGGGAAUGAGACCUCCUGUAAUGUCGCAAGGUGGCCGCUACUGAUGCUACUACACACAGUCUAAUAGGUUUGGAGAUUAAACCUUUUCUCAUCUUGUGCUGUUAAUAUAGCCAAGCUUCCGUCAGUUAAGGCUUCAUUGUGACUUUAAAAAAAAAGUAUCUUCCCACAUGCAAGGAACUAUUGGACAUUCUUAUUUUACAUGGGAAAAAUUUAUUUGGAAUAAUAAAACAGGAACUUUUCCUGAUGUUGCAAUUUAUACUGUAUGGCUUCUUUUUCAUGUUUCAUCUAGGUUUUUAGAAGUGAAGUAUAGUAAAUAUGGUUCGUUAAAUUGUGAAGGCGCUGGAAUUACAUGAACAUACCAUCUUAAAGCCCUGCCAUAGGACAGGCUGAGGCAGAGUCUCAGUGUUGCCCUGUUCAGUCUGAGCAGCAGAAUUUCAGCAUUUGCUACUUACUGGUAGAGAAGAAAAAUCCCACAGCACUGCCAGUACAGGUUAGUUUAAUCUGUAAGUACCUGAUGUUCCUGUUUGAAAUACUGUGUUCAAAUACCAUUUAAAUACAUGAGGAGAGAGUCUUUUGAUCACCUAAAUGUGAAUACGUCUUUGUUGUGUAGGAUAUAUGUUGCUGUCUUCAGUAGUGAGUAAAUUUGUAGAAUUUAACAGUUAAAAAAAAUAAUACAAUGAUUCUAACUACACCUAGGGGUACUAUACUUUUACAAGCACCUGAUUAACGGAAAUGGGGAUUAAAAGUUUUGAUGGCCAUUUUGGCAGUAUUGAGAAGCUUAAUGGACACAUGGACGUUGAUUCAACAGUCACUUCUUCAGUAAUUCACUUACUACUGAGAGAGGUCAUUUUACCAGAGUGAAUUGAUGAUACAAGAUUUUGAUAUUCGCUUAUAUUGGGAAUUGGGUGUUCAUGCCCCUAAUACUGUAGCAGUAAUUUAACCUUGACUUAAAUUUUCUGUUUACAGAUACGUAAUAUCACCUGACUUAAUACCCCCACUCUCAUAUAUUUACUGUAGUAGGCCCUGUGCAUGGGAUUAGUCUCUGAAAUCCAUCUUAGCCCCUUUUUACACUUCAAAGAGCUCCUACAAAUGUUUUCCUCAGAGAUUUUAGUUUACCCCCCAUAUUUAUUGUCUUUCCCUCAUAUUCCUCUUUACUUUCUCCUUCCACCCCUCCAGUAUUGCUUAGCGUGCUUUAUCUGCUUAAAUUUGAAGCAGGUGACUUAAUUGUUUGGAUUUUUUUGGUUGUGCAGUGUCCUGAGCAUCUUGAGUACUUUGAAUGAAAUUAACUUCAGAAGAUAAAAUUUUGUAUGUGUACACAAAUAUAUGGUGACCAUUUUUAGGUGCUCUAUAAAAAUAAACUCAAAAACUACAGCGCAUUAAAGAUCAAGGAAAGCCAACAGAUGGCGGUAGUCAAAUAGAAACUGAAACUAUUGUCAUCUCAAUUUACCUAAUUAGAGCAACAAUCUGAAUAACAAUAUGAUAAACUGACAUUUACAGCUCCCCCAAGUUGGUUUCAGAAUUGAACAUCUUACAUAGGUUUUAAGAAUUCAUUCUCAAUUAUAAUAGCAUGUUCAUUUUUUAUGUUAUAGAAGAAAACACGCUUACUGGUUUUAAGAGCUGUGAUAACCUUUGUAGUUCUAGCAGGACACAUCAUCUAGGGGCUCCUAUUAUAUGCUCAGGAAUUCAAACUGUAAAUGUUCACUUGCCUGCAAGUGGCAGCACACGCAGUUCAAAUUUCUCACUUGUGAUGUGCCUGUUCAGACUUGUCUUUUGGGAACCUGGUGGGUCACUUUUAUAUAGGAUUUAAAAUUAAUCUGUUGCCCUAUAUCUCCUAAACAUGAUUGGGAGUCAUGUGCACGUGUAAAAACAACAGAUUCCUUACUGUGAAAUCAGUGACUAUAUGUAGUAAAGUUCACAAAUCCUUUCUUUUAAUUGAUUUUUAAAAAAUAAUUAUGAAUCCAGUUGCCGUUUGUGGCACCAAAUCUGUCAGCUUGUUAAUAACUGGUUCUUUUGGACUGCAAUAUUCUGUGAGGUCAGCCUCCAGGGUUGCUAAAAAAGAAAUAAUUUAACCUUCUACUUCAUGGUACCCCAGUU
RNA transcript from Emys orbicularis (European pond turtle), 3767 nucleotides. It is a transcript of the gene named zinc finger protein 207, with no coding region annotated. The record is from RefSeq and is a predicted model, not a curated record. The transcript has 13 exons. Lineage: Eukaryota; Metazoa; Chordata; Testudines; Emydidae.